CCUCGCUGUCUUUCCGCCUAACGCGCGGCGCAGGAGGCGGAGGAGAAGGAAGGGGAGAGUCCGCCCCGUUCCCUCAGCGCGCUUCGUGAGUGGAGGGGUAGGCGGUUGAAGUCGCCUGGUCUCCCGCGUCCCUUUCACAGAAGGAGGAGGAGUAGGCGGCUCUUGCCUUCCUCCUCCCGCCCCCCUCCUGUCGUCGUUUCUUCAGUGACUGACCCAGGAACUGGCGCCCGAUGCCUCGCCAACAUCCCAGGGCGGCGCGCGAGACCGGAGCAGCCCGCGCGCAAGAUUUUGCUUGCCGCAGAAGGACUUGACUGCUUUUGGGAAUCCGAAAGGCAGAUGGUGGAGGAGCUAAGAUGAAACAAAUUAAUUUAUCUUCAUCGUCUUGAGUUUGCUACAUGAANGUUGGCUGUUUUACAGAGCUGCGUGGCAAUGUCAGGCUUCUACCUUUUGUAUGAAAAGUCAUCUGCAAAAUCUUAAUAAAGUAAUAAAGCAAUAUCA
This 498-nucleotide long non-coding RNA is filed under the name Salvator merianae (Argentine black and white tegu). RNAcentral describes it as "lncRNA (ENSSMRG00000010496.1)". Lineage: Eukaryota; Metazoa; Chordata; Lepidosauria; Squamata; Teiidae. The record is from RNAcentral.